CCUACGGGACGCACCAGUGGGGAAUAUUGCACAAUGGGCGCAAGCCUGAUGCAGCCAUGCCGCGUGUAUGAAGAAGGCCUUCGGGUUGUAAAGUACUUUCAGCGGGGAGGAAGGUGUUGUGGUUGAUAACCACAACAAUUGACGUUACCCGCAGAAGAAGCACCGGCUAACUCCGUGCCAGCAGCCGCGGUAAUACGGAGGGUGCAAGCGUUAAUCGGAAUUACUGGGCGUAAAGCGCACGCAGGCGGUCUGUCAAGUCGGAUGUGAAAUCCCCGGGCUCAACCUGGGAACUGCAUUCGAAACUGGCAGGCUAGAGUCUUGUAGAGGGGGGUAGAAUUCCAGGUGUAGCGGUGAAAUGCGUAGAGAUCUGGAGGAAUACCGGUGGCGAAGGCGGCCCCCUGGACAAAGACUGACGCUCAGGUGCGAAAGCGUGGGGAGCAAACAGGAUUAGAUACCCCUGUAGUC
RNAcentral lists this ribosomal RNA (465 nucleotides) under uncultured bacterium. RNAcentral describes it as "bacterial SSU rRNA". It matches the Rfam family "Bacterial small subunit ribosomal RNA", at positions 338 to 795 of the family's 1533-position model. The record is from RNAcentral.